Molecule: long non-coding RNA, 7601 nt
Organism: Triticum urartu
Lineage: Eukaryota; Viridiplantae; Streptophyta; Magnoliopsida; Poales; Poaceae
Source: RefSeq, a predicted model, not a curated record
GGGUACCCUCGAGCGACGCAACACCAGAUCCCAUCUAUCGCAAAAAAAAAAAAAAAAAAACACCAGAUCCCAUCGCCGCUGCCCUCGCACUCGCAUCCCUCCGCCGCCGCCCUCGCACAUGAAGCCGCCGCCGAUCCCUGUGCUACCUCGACGGGAGCCAUCGGUCGUCUCGCUACAACUUGAAGCUGCAACUUGGGCGGUGCCAUGGCUCCUUGUGCAGAGAAAACAAGACGAGGGGGAGGUCAGGGAGGAGCAGCAGGAGGAGUGAAGGAGAAGAAGGCGGCGGAGAAGGCCCUGCUCGCCGGAGAGGUCGAUCGGCGGCGACGAACUCCGAGCCGCACGUUCUGGCGACGGAGGGCUGGAACCGGUCGAUGGGGAGACCUGUAGGCGCGCGGCGGCGGCGGUUUGGGACGGCGGCGAAGCUGCAACUCGGACGGCGCCAUGGCUUCCUAUGCAAAGAAAACGAGACGAGGGGGAGGUCAGGGAGGAGCAGCAGGAGGAGUGAAGAAAAAAGGCGGCGGAGAAGGCCCUGCUCGCCGGAGAGCUCGCCUAGCGCCGACGCUCGCUGUAGCGGGAGUAUGCUCGGGCGUACCGGCAUGAGAGCUGCAGUUGGUGGGAAUUGGCUGCGGGCAUAGGAACCGUGGAUUGAUCCCACGUACACACAGAUCAUGAGGAAAUGGGUUCAGAUAUGUGACUACUCUAUGCUGUACUAACUAUUCUAUGUUGUACUGACUAUUCUAUGCGACCACCAACAGCAAGGGUUCUCUCAGCACUGUAGCGGCUUGCUCGAAUCGUCCACCACCGACCGCCGCUGGCGCAAGCUGAAACUCACCCGGGGGAGCACUGGCUGGCGCGACAGUGGCGGCGAGGACCAGGUCAAGGCUUCGCAAUAAGCGCCGGAUCAAGCCAUGAAACAUGUUGACGGAUUAGUUUUCCACCUCAUGUUUACUUCACCAUGUAGUUGGGUGUAACGCGAGUUCUGCUCUUCUUCUAGGCUGUUGGGAGGAGCGACCCUGCCAUCACGUGGAGAACGAGCGGCUCCUGGUGCUCGACAAGGUGCCUGAGCAAGGCAUAUUAGUGGACGUGGCUCGACCCUGAACGUGCUUUCCCCAAAUUUGUUCAGUGAGCAGUGCUAUCAUAUUCUCCUUGCUCUUAUCAUGGAAAGGUUUGGAGUUUGGGUCUUUUUAGUUCUCGCGUUCGGACCAAAAUGAGUGGGGGAGUGGAGAUUGGCAUGAAUAAUUGCAAUUUUUAACACAAGGUGAGACAAUGAAGGAUUUGUUGUCAAGAUAUCAAAAGUUGCUCAUAUCAACUGGAAAUAUAGAAGUUAUAUUCAGUCAUGCAGACAUAUAGUUUUUUUUUUGCAUAUGAAAAUAGAUUGUCAACGUAUAUUAUUUGGCUCAAUAAAUUGCGUUGUGAAUCACUUCGAAUUGUUUGUAAUAAUGACCAUUUUUUCAUACAACACCUUAAUAUGUAUAGCUUAUAAGGCUUUUAGUUUGUGAAUAAUUUGUUCAAAGAGUCACACUGUAUCAUCACACAAGGCAACGAAAUAUUAAGGUGAAGACUUUGUCAUCUAUACUUGUUGAUACUCCUAUUUUUUCAAUUAUGCUUACCUUGCAUCCUUCUGUUAACAGUUUAGAAAUAUAGUUAUGUUCAUUGAUUUCUUAUACAGUUAUCCCACGUCAGUAUAGUUAUAUAGUGUUUUCUUUAAUUGCGGAUCAGGUGUCAUUCACUUUUGCAAAGAUAGGCCAGUAAGAUAUGUUUUUGGUCCCUCAAAUUCCCAAAAAGUACAGACUUGGUCCCUCAAGAUUUUUUGGUAUACAUUUGGUCCCUCAAGUCUCAAAACCGGACAAGUUUGGUCCUAAACCAGAUUUUGACCCUGUUGACCGGGUUUGACCGCCACAAAAUCGCCCAAUGAGCAGUAAAUUCAAGUUUUAAAAAGGAAAUCUAAAAAAAUCUGAAAUUUUUUAGGGUCCAAUAUGCUUACAUGCGCAACGUGCGACCAAAUUUUCGUGGUCUUUCAACACUCGAGGAGCUCGUGGCAAAAAAGACAAAAUAUCUACGUCCGAUGAACAGUAAAUUCGAAAACAAAAUCAGAAAAAUUCAAAAAAAUCUGAAACUUAUUGGGGUCUAAUAUGAUUACAUGCUCAAGGUUCGAGCAAAAUUUGGUGGCGUUUCGAGACUAAAGGAGCUCGUGGCAAAAAAAAAAUUCACUCACAAAAAAUAGCCAAAAUUUGUUUAUUUUGCUAGAGCCCGUCCUACGUCAUUUCAUGACAAAAUGUUGGUCGCAUCUUGCCCAUGUAACCAUAUUGGACCCCAAAAAAAUUUCAGAAUUUUUUUGUUUUUUUUUAUUUUGUUUGAAUUUACUAUUCAUCGGACAUAUAUUGUUGUUCUUUUUGUCACGAGCUCCUCGAUUGUCGAAAGACCAUGAAAAUUUGGUCGCACCUUAUGCAUGUAAGCAUAUUGGACCCCAAAAAAUUUCGGAAUUUUUUGAAGAUUUUUUUUAAAAAAACUCAAAUUUACUGUUCAUCGGGCGGUUUUGUGGCGGUCAAACCCGGUCAAUGGGGUCAAAAUCUGGUUUAGGACCAGACUUGUCCGGUUUUGAGACUUGAGGGACCAAAUGUAUACCAAAAAAUCUUAAGAGACCAAAUCUAUACUUUUUGGAAACUUGAGGGACCAAAAACAUACUUUUCUCUUUUUUAAACCGUGUAAGUUUUGAGUGAAACUAUACUAUCUGUUAACACAAGGAAAAGAAAGAAUGGAAUUGAUUGUAAGCAAUUCUUCUUGAGAUAGAGAUUUUCUGUGUAGUUUGCUGCAAUUGUUUAAAUCUGAAUUUCAGUUUGAGAUAUACAACCGGCAAUCUGAGGUCAAUACUGCUGCUCAGACAAUCUAGAUAUGUCAACAAAAUUUCUUUGCAAACUCGUACAGAAGCUUAAGAAUAUGCCUGCUACUUGGGGAUAUUGUGGUGUUAAAUGACCUAAAUCUCGCUUCACAUAUAUCACAAUCCGAUACGGUGUUUGACAAAACCCGAAAUUUUUUGGAACAAAAAAGGUUGUGCUAGCAAGGAAAUUCACUUCAGCUCAAGACUUGAUAAGGCAUGUGGCGACCCUAGGAGGUGUUGUUGUGCUCACUCGCAUACCAUAUAUUCAGAGUUAAAGUUGUUUGCGUACUUUCUGGUCUAAGGUAUUUUGAAUACAUCAGGUUUUUUAUGUUUGUUUGUAGCCUGAACCUUGCAGGUGGUCUCUACGCUGUAGCUAUAAUUUUUUUCUCGUGCCGACAGUGGUAACACAUGAAAGAUCCAGAAAGAUUUUGAAGCGGCGUAGAUCCAGCCGGUGCAUACUAUUGCCUUCAAAGGCCUUGAAGGAGAUCAUAUAUGUUUGGCUACUGACAUGACAAGAAUUUCAGCAAAAAGAUUUCCAAUUAUUAGACACAUGCUUUGCAGCUUGUAUUAGUACAUAUCACCAUGCAUCCAUGCCUAAGCUACUAGCGAAAUGAAGGAAACUUUUCCAUGAUUUGUGUAGACUGGAGUCCCUUUAACAUGCAUUCUCUAUUCUUGAUUUAAGAAUUUGACUAUAUGGUGUGCAUUUAAGUAGUGGAUGAAAUUAUAAUCACCGCUUGAUUCUAUGUCCAAUGCUAGAAAAAAGGUUAUUUUUCAUAUUACUGGGGAACAACUAAUUUGACUUGUUCUAUGUCUGCUCAAAUAAUCGUUUCAGUUUCAAAAUUGUCACAUAAGAAAUAAGCCAUCAAAGCACAGAAAUGCAAUCUUAGUAGCAACACUAACUUAGGGCGCAGACAUUUAGUGCUCGGGCUUGCUUGCCUUUGGUAUCGUUAGAUAGUAGAGAUGACUGACAUAUGUUAAUGCAUGUGAAUACUCAACGUUAAAGCAAGCUGUUUUGUGAAAAACAGAACUGGCGUAACCACUUAGAAAAGGAAAUUAGUUGUUCCCCACUGCUAUGAAAAAUACAGAGCUGACGUACAAGAUACAGAACUUAUUUGGAGGUAGUUAACAGAGGUGACAUUUAUUAGGGGGGUGACACUUAUGCAAGUAGCUACGGCUAUGAAUAGAUGAGCGUUGGCCAUGAUUAGCAGCACCACCAUGAGGGCAUUUGUCCUGGAAGUGUGGUCGGGGACUGGGGAUGAUUGAACACAGGUGACUGUCUUCUCAACUUGAUGUUGCUUUGAAUGCGUCCGACGCUGAUCCAAGUUGCGGCGAGCUGAUAUCCAUCAUGGCUUGGGAGGGAUUACUUGUAUUCUACCAAUUCAAAAUUAAUCUCAUGCAAUCAUUUUCUUGAUGACUAUGAGAGGUAUUCCCAUUUGCAAAUCUCCGCCUUCACAUAUGGCCUCAUGCAAGGUCCGGCCGCCAGCGGCGCGAUGUGAAAUGCGGGUGUUGGAGGUGCAGGUGGAGGGGUGGAGCGGCGAUGACGACAGCCAGAGGAAGAGCCGACCUCGUGGUCGUUCCUGCCCUUGCGGCUGGAGAUCCAGUGUGGCCGGCGGCAAGGUUGAGCUAGGGUUUGGAGAAACCGAGCGUGUCGGGCUUCAAGGAGGCAUGUGUCGCCGGGAGUGGGGAAGUGGAAGUGUGUACCCCCACCGGUCCAUGGCUUCCGCAUUAAAAAGGACGGCGACCACUCGGCCAGGGUGGCUGACAAGCGGGGCCGCCCGCGCGUGCAUCGUAAAUGUGGACGGUGGGUGGUAGGUGGGCGGCUGCCACGCGGGCCCAAGGAGGAUGCGGAGCGGGCGUGUGGGCGUCCGUUCGACGUCCGUCUGGACGCAAACCGGACGCAAAUUUGAGCCGGAAAUGGGGCGGCCCGAACGCGAAACGGACAGAAAAUGCAAUGGAUUGGUUGAAGGUCUGCGGGUCGUGCGGUCUGUCCGUUUGGGCCAAACGGGCAGACGCGGACUGGACAGGGUGGUGCGUUGGAGUUGCCAUAAUGGAUUGGUUGAAGGUAGCAUCUUCUACCGAGCUUCAAUUGAUAGGGAAGGAAUUGUGUCUGUCUGUGCCUUUGGUUUUCUUGUGCGUCGAGAGUUCGUACAGUUUAUUUUGAGGGAAAGAGAUUCUUCAUCUAGAUGAGAAAGAGCACUCUGAUUAAUUAGAUCAGAAGUUGUGUGUGAUGUUGGUUUCUCGUGACUACAAUGGCACCAACCACCAGGUGAGGUCGUGAAUGAGGCGCCGCAGGUGGACAUGAGCAAGGCUUCUUGACCUAUAAGAUCCAUGGUUGGGCAAGUUUGCUUCAUCUAAACUUUACUUAGUCUGAGAUGAUUAGGAUCCUUAAUUGCUUUAUUUAAUUUGCAUUGGUUUAUUUUUGCAGCAUCUCCUGCAAUACAGGAGCAAAAAACUUAGCACUGUUGAUCUUUUAAACUUGAAGUUACAACUGCUUAACCCGAUAAUAAUUUAGUUCUGGAGAUUGCAGAAGCCGUUUCAAUGAACAUAAACGACAGGGGCAUCCUGGGUAAAUCAGCUAGGAGCAGUCUAGAAAAAUGUGACAGUCUCACACUACAGCAGCAUGCCUAAUGCAAGACACCAGAAUAAUGAUUGGAGCGUUAAAGCCCCUUCUCUUUGGAUUUUGAUUGGUUUUUGAUUGGUUUUUGUGUAUGUCCUUUGCUCAGGCAUUUACAUGUCCGAUUUGUUUCUACUAAGUGGUAUUCAUCUUUUCCUUUAGUCUCAUCAAUUUUACAAUUUUUGUGAAAAGGCGUAUGUUUCGCUUUUCAGUUUGAUCCCCAACAAUAUAUUGUAGGGUGAAGAAGUGCUUAUGUAUAUGUUCCAACAAAAUGUGUGGCAAAAUCACUGGAAUUAUGGUGUUAUGAGCUAGAAGAUUUCGAAAGCACACCAAUAAGAAAUUACACAUAUUUAUACCUCAGACGGGGAAGCAUGUGUUUGAUCUUUGCUAUUGAGACUCAAUAUUUCCUACCAGAUGUCUAAAACAUGUAUUAUUAGAAGCAAAAUAUUUACAAGGAUUACAUGUAUGCUAUUUUUAUGGGGCUAUCUAAUGUUUGAUAUCCUGGCCUCUAAUUAUUUGUAUUCAUUGUCUGGCUCUAUGAAAAUACAAUCGUGUCGGCAAAUCAUAUUACAACAUUUGUGACAUCCAUAAGAAAUAGGCACUCCUAGCAUUGCCUUGGGAGUUGAUAUUUUGUCAUGAACAGAGAAAGGCCAAAGUUAUGUGCAAUAGUUGUCGGAGUGGUUAGUGGUUACCAUGCUGCAGAACCAAUUGAUAGAUUAUCACGUUCUUCAUUAUUGUUGGCUUAAUACUUUACUGUUGUGUUUCUAAUUAGAGGGCUGCAGUUGCACCUGAGUUGAGGGGGUGGUAAAUGGAGGAUAAUGAUUAUAAAUAGUUUAUUAUUUAGAUAUUGUAUAUGAAAAUAUCAAGUAAUUAUAAAUAUCACUUACAAUCAUUAACGACCUUACUGGAUGAUUGCUUUCAUGGACAUUAAAGAAGAAAUAUCUUAGAAGUUGAGUGCAGUUGGUGGGGCCUCAAUCCAUUUGAGCAAAGAAAAGUAGACAUGGUCUGUCCAAAAUCUUUUGAGCUAUGAAUAAUAAAUGGGGAAGGCUUAAAGUAUUUUGUGUUGCCAUGGGACGUGUGUUUUGCUGCAGUAGUACCUAAAUUCUAAACUCCAAGUGCCUAAUUUCAUAUGUAAUAAUUUGUUAGACAAUUUCGUAACGCAAUCAAGUUUUUGGUUGUAGCAUCUUGGAACAUUCAUUUUAAGAGUACAAAAUCCUCCAUGUGUUAUAUUUACUUAAUGGAUAAUAAAGGGUUCCAUGUGCUAUCUAUCAUUUGUAAUGCAGUGCACAAUAAAGAGUUCUAUGUUUUUGUGCCACCUUUUCUACUUUUUGUGCAUAUAUGCUAGAUACGUCGUCGAAUUGCGUUUCAUUCUUUAUCGAAAUACAUUGCAAGUGGAGUCAGUUUCAGUUAUUUAACCUAUGCUAAAGGUUUGCUUUUUUUUACAUGUGAAAUUUGACAUGUUUAUAUAUGCAACCGAUAUAAAUUUUAAGAAGCCCGUGGCAAAGCACGGGCAUUAUACUAGUUGUGACUAAAGGAUGUGAGCUAAAUAAACGAGAUGGGGGGACAUGACAAAUACUGAGGAUUGUGUGGGCUGUCCCAUAGUUAAGGAAGCGGAUUUGUAGGCUACCUCAAUAAUUAAGGCACAUGAUUGUGGGUUGCAUAAAGAGUAUUUAAACAAGAUUGCAUGGGAUUGCUACCUUGGACGAGGUCCGAAGAUCGAAGCUGCAUUCCUACUCCGGCUGCUCGGCCACGCAUUGCUGCUGUUGUGAGCCGUGAGACCUCAACCAUCAAUCCGCCCCGCACAACAAGAUAUGUCCCAGUGUAUGCUACCACCGCACAACAAGAGCCGUCUCAAUGUAUGUUACCACAUGAAGCCAGACUGCAGCUCAACUUGGUUCAACUCUGUUUUUUUUUUUGAGAAGUUUUGUUACUGUUGUCUAUAUGGGUUUUGUGCUGACAUGGGAUAAAUAGAAAAUGCAAAGAUCCGCGGUUCGAUGGCGAAGAGAUAAACUCAUUGAUUUUUAUGUUGUGCUAUUAGUCUGUAAUUUUUUAAUAGAAACAAAUAGUGCGUCCAUUAUGUUACCCAUCAUUUCAUCAUGGAGAUAAUCU